AUCUUAGGCAUAAAGAGAACUUUGACCAAGGAAGAGAAGUCAUGUACAGUAUAUUAAAAUUGCUGGCAAGACUUAUAAUAAAUGGCGACAGGAGGAAGGGGUGCGUUGUCUCUUCUUCAAAGUUACGGCUCAGAUAGCGAUGGAGACUCUGGUUACACUAGUGAAGACGAGAAAAAGAGAAAACACGUAUUUAGCAGCCCUCUUGAACGAAAGAGGAAGAGGCGAAGAGCAGAUGACGAGGAGGAAAUGGCGGUGGACACUCCUUCCUCGUCGUCACGUCCUGGAUACCACCAGGAUUCUGUAGUUUCUUCGGAGACUGUGAUGGGGGACGGGCACCAACGGCCAAGUGACCACACCAUGGAUACUACCUCACACCAGUUAAAUAGUAAUCGAAGUAUACCUCUACCCAGUGAACUAUUAUUGACUAGAGAAAUUCAUGUGGAUGACUCGAGGGAACAUCAGGGAAGAGUCAGAUCCUUUCCUCAUGAACGGGGUAACUGGGCAUCAAUUUUAUACGUCCCGUUGCAUCUAGGAGUGUAUGGGGCAAGUUUUGCUUCCUUCAUGGCUUCGUUGGUUGCUAUGUGCCAGGAACAAAAUGUGAUACUUACCCCCUCGUCAGAUCUUCACAUUUCACUAACACGAACUCUCAUACUUCAACUCCAUUGGAUUCAGCCAUUAACAGAAGACCUCAGAGCUAGACUUAGCCAAGUAUCCAAAUUUUCCUUGUGGUUACAUGGCUUAAGUGUGUAUGCCAAUGAUGAGCGAACCCGAACCUUUUUGGGGCUGCGAGUUUGUCAUGGCCGCAAUGAAUUAGAGGAUAUAGUCUCUGAAGUGGACAAGUGUCUAGCUGAGUAUAGACUGCCACUUUUCUAUAAGGAUGGCUCUUAUCAUGUGAGUGUCGCUUGGUGCACUGGCGAUGUUUCUGAAAAUCUUCGUCGCCUCUUGCCGCAGCUGGAAAACAUCUGCAGUCAGUACUUCUCAGUGGAAACUGAUAUGCGUACUUUUGAUGUUAACUUGUUGAAUUUUAAGACUGGUAACAGAAUUCAUAACAUACACCUUAAACACGAAAAUUAGUAUCCAUUUUAUAGAAUUUGAGUAGUUUCUAUCUUCUCCAUUAAUAAGUAUGUACAAAUAAUAAAUUAACACAUUUCUUUAUACUGUUCAACUUGUAUUCCUAUUUUUUCUGGUGCAGUUAGUAAUGUGUAUUUAUUAAUCUUGGAGUUUUAAGGACCAAGUAUGGAUUUUUCUUCCGAGUUGACUGUUGGAUGAUAGAGUAAUGAUAUAAUUAUGAACAAAUAUGAGUGUGCCCUACCAAAGUGUGAUUCAUCAGGGAAUACCUGGAUCUACCUUAACUGUGUUAGUGGUAUGUGUGACCAAGAAAAGUAAUGUGAUGGUGAUUCUGCAUCUUUGUUCCUACUGUAAAAAGGUUAACAUUGUGGAGAUACAUGGUUGCAGGACAAAUAGGUUCCAGUCCUCAUAGGCCCCCAAUUGUACCUGAUCAUUAGGAUUGAGGUCCAUUAUGACUGGACUCCAUUCUUAAUGGUUAGAUAAGGUGAAUGACAAGUAGGACUCGAGUCCAUUUAACCAGUCACCUUGGUGCAUUAGGAUUGUCCAGGUUUCUAAAGUUUCUGUAAGCCUUUAGGAAGUUAAACACUAAAAAAGUGCAUCUGACAUAAGUUGUAGGUGGAAAGGGAAUAUUUUGUCAAUAGUUUGAAAAGAAAGUAUGAAAUAAAACUGUAAAUUACACUUAAAUGGUAAUAAGAAAGCAAUUCUCAUGUGAUGUUGUGGCUCACAACCAUUGGCUGACCACAUAUGAUCUGAUUAGUACUGCAGAAUAAGCAAAAUAUGGGAAAACAAAUAUAGGAAAGAGUGAUACUCUUAUUUUUGGAUCUGUGAUCACUAAUUUGUUGCCUCGGCUACAUGAUAAACCUGUGUAAACAGUCUUGAAAUUCCUCAACAGUAUUCAUGUUGUUGCUCUCAAGUUGGCAGUACCUUUGACCUGUGCUCCUACAUUGUCUUAAUGUACUGACUGUGUGUUACUCAUUAAAAUUAAGAGUGUAUGGAAGCUGCAGGAAGUAGAAUUACUUAAGUAUGGCUUUCAUUAUUAAGUUUUAUUUAUAAACUUAAUUGUUCAAGCAAUAGUGGACAUCUGUUCAUUAUUUCUUAACAUAGCACAAUCAUAAUGUGCUGUACCAUGAAUUUGGAAUGGAAUAUCUUUUUUUGGUAUUUUUUUUUGGCUUGAGGAGUAGACAAUAUAGUAAUUUUCCCGAUGGUCACAUCAUAAGUCACUGGAUACUUGAGGAGCAUGGGACUAUUUACUCGCCUUCGUUAUAUUAGGGAGACCACCCAACGGAUUUUAAGAUUUGCUCUAUAAGUUAUUACAUGAGCAUCAUUUAUCAUAAGUGGAAUGCUAAUAAUAAUUUGCCUCCAACAGUACAGUAAAACCUCGAUUUAACGGACCUCGACUUAACAGAUUUCGGAUUUAAUGGACCAAAUUGUCUGGAAGCAUUUGCUGUUAGCUCUGACUCAAAAUAAAAGUAUUGAGUCACUACUAUCAAUCACUGGCAAAUUAAUUUCCUCUAUCAACCACAAAUGGUUUACUUUACGAGAACCUCCAACUGAGCCCUUUGUAAGAGUACAGUACCGGUAAUCAUUCAAAAUUAGGACCCAUAUAAUGGAAGAAUACAGCUGCAUUCAACUGUUUUCACCAUGAAUAUCCCUUUAAUACUUUAUUGCAAUCUUGGAAAACAUAUUACUCUAUACUGUACUGUAUAAAAGUAAUUUUAGACUCAUGAUUAAAAAAAAAACCACCGGAUAUGUGUAUGAAAGACAAGUCUCCAUUAAGGAUUAUCUAAAAAUGUGUCACGGUAGUACAGCACUGUGUGUUCACUGCAGUACUGUACAGUAUAGCAAGGCAAGCAUGGAAAAUGGUGAUGGUAAUUUUAAGUGCAGUAUAAAGAUACUACAGUACAGUACAGUGGUCCCUCGGUUAACGAGCACAAUCCGUUCUAGAAGGUUGCUCGUUACCC
Molecule: unclassified non-coding RNA, 3029 nt
Filed under: Homarus americanus (American lobster)
Lineage: Eukaryota; Metazoa; Arthropoda; Malacostraca; Decapoda; Nephropidae
Source: RNAcentral